CAGAAUUCCAAGAGACAAAAAUGAAAUGUCUAAAAAGUUGAAGGACCUUGAGUGAGGCCAGUGUGACUCAAUAUAUCAAAUAAAUGAGAAAGUGCUAAAAUGAGGCUGGGGAAGAAGCAGGACUCUGAUUGGGAAGCCCUACAAUUCUGCUGAGACAUUUUAUUUUAUUCCAAGGGCAGCACAAAUAUCGAUAGAUGAGGUUUUUUUUCCACCAGUGGGAUGGACAGACAAGUGAAUAGGGCAAACUGUGAAAGCUGGGAAUUUCUGGGAGUUCAUGGGAUGCUGAAAAACAGAAGGUGCCAUCUUCAGACUUCUCCAGACCUCUGUCAUUGUGAGAGCACAGUUGGCCAAGUAUACUGGCAGUAUUGGCUGGAAAGUUUAUCCCAGGUUGAGAAACCAGCAAGUGUGGUUCGAGGGGCCGGAGUUCUUGUGGGGCCAUAG
RNAcentral lists this long non-coding RNA (441 nucleotides) under Mustela putorius furo (domestic ferret). Its description in RNAcentral is "lncRNA (ENSMPUG00000028900.1)". Lineage: Eukaryota; Metazoa; Chordata; Mammalia; Carnivora; Mustelidae. The record is from RNAcentral.